Molecule: long non-coding RNA, 2169 nt
Organism: Dreissena polymorpha
Lineage: Eukaryota; Metazoa; Mollusca; Bivalvia; Myida; Dreissenidae
Exons: 6
Source: RefSeq, a predicted model, not a curated record
GGUCAUGCGAGUCUAAUCAGAUGUCUCAAUCAUUAAUAUCCGUUAAAUGGGUUAAAACUAGAAUAAUUUGGUCACACCAUUUCCGGUGAGUGUCAUUGGAACAAUACAUUAGCGGUCAGCCAAUCAGCAAUCAACAGGUAUUAAUUGAACUCUUUGACCAAGCCAAUCAGCAAUUAACAAGUAUUCAGGAAAACUCUUUGACCAAUCAAAUAUGUUAUAAGAAGUAUUAUUAUUUUGUGUUUAUGUCGAUAUACAAUAAGAUGUUUUGUGAAGAAAGGGCACUCUGCCCUAGAUUUGAAUGAAAUAUUGAGAUUUAUAAAUAUAUCAUUAGAAUUUGAGAUAUAAAGUAUUUGAAAAGAAAAAUAAAAGAAAUACUUAGAAAUAAUUCAGAGACUCUACAACUACAUCCGCCAUCCACUGCAACCGAUACAACCAUAUCCAUCUACCAUCCCAGAAUCUACAACCAAACACGCCCUCCACACCAGCCUCUGCAUCGUCACCAGCAUUAAUACACCAAAAGACUUUAAUUACUUUGAUUUCAAUCUUAUUAAUUACAAAAUGCACAUCAUUGACAUAGUCGUUCACCUGAGUUUUUGGCUUUACCAUUCUUCAUUCAUUCAGGCCCUCAUUCGGGAUUCCCCCAAGACUUUACAUCCAAGAUAUCAUACCCAUCACACUCCCAAUAAUGGAAUCGCAUUUAUGCAAAUCCAUUAUUUCAUCUCGAUGUUUCAGAACAUGGACACCAUAGAACAAACACAUGACAUAUCAAUUUUCACAUACAUGGCCAUCAGGCGAAAAACAACUUGACACUAUGGUCUUCCUCAUCAACUACUUAGACAAACCUGUUCUACAUCAACAAAUGCACGAUCACUUAUCAAGCGUUUACCACACAGCAGACGAGGCCGAUAAAGAAUAUUCUAUAUUUAUUUUAUUUUAUUUCUGUUACUUAAAUAACUUAAUCACUUUGUACAAUUGUAUAUUCUGAAUUUUAAAAUAUUUUUCUAUUUAAAUAUAGGUUGUACUUGUUCGAGCCAGGACACCUCUAGAAGUACCAAGAGCGGGGGCCGAGAGCUAUAGAAAAAGCCAGUUCGGGUCAACACCAGUGGUCACGCAAAAAUCGGUGGAGCUCUCCUGAGAAACGUUCACCGGAGGCACACAGCUGAGAAGGCAUUUUGUCACGCAAGCCGGAGUCAGGUUGUACUUGAGCUGGGACACCUCUAGAAAGUGGGCGGUAGACAGACAGCUAUAAGAAGAAGCCAGUUCGAGUCAGCACCAGAUUUCUACAGAUGAAUAAUCAGCUCAACAUGAUCAGAAGAGCAGUGAACAAUCAUCAUUGUCCUAGGAACUAGAGAUGCAUGGUCACUUGCGAAAUACACAGUGGACAACUGAAUGACGUACAUUCGACCAUACCUGGCGGUCAACAUAGUGUUAAUUAUACACGAACUGCUUAUAUAAACAGCUUAUAUAAACAGAUUAAAUAAGCCUAAAUAGUAAGAAAUAAUUUAACGACCAGAAAGUAAUGGACAUUGUUAUAACCCGUUUAUAGCUAUAUUUUUUAUGGUUAUGAGAUUAUGUCAAAGUGAUGGAUAAGGCUGUUUACUCCUUAAAACAAGUGGGUCGACGCCAAGGUCACCAUUUUCGUAUAAAAGGACCGUGUUAGAACCUCUAGUCGAGCCGAGCCACUGUCGAUAGAGAAUCGCACAAUAUACUUCCCAAUUUCUGGCUCCACGGUUAGGUUAGGAAAAUACUACAGCUAGACUUAGAAAAUAAUGUUUAAACUAUAAAUACAAUUCUGAUGUUAGGAAAUAGUUAGAAAAUAAAAGAAAUAAUUUUGAGAAGUCAGAGACUUGUUUUACUUUCACCAAAUACAUUGACACUCGAUUACGUGACACAUGUUUAACUGGUGCGCAGUGACAGGAUCAACCCAGGAUCAACGGAAGUGCCACUUCUUUCACGGGCCAGAAGGACGAAAUUGUGCCGAACCUCCACAACAAACGGGCAAAUUCGACACCGACAAGCACCAGAAGUACACCGCCGACCAUUACACCAGAUCAACGACGACGUCAUCCAUACCAGCGACAUCCGCACAUCAACCCCACCACCCGUUACGCCAGAUCAUCUAGACUGCCGGUAACCAAACGUCAACACAGCCAAACGUUACGCCAAACC